Molecule: unclassified non-coding RNA, 254 nt
Filed under: uncultured Actinomycetes bacterium
Lineage: Bacteria; Bacillati; Actinomycetota; Actinomycetes
Description: uncultured actinobacterium contains 16S-23S intergenic spacer region
Rfam family: Bacterial small subunit ribosomal RNA
Source: RNAcentral
UACGUAGGGUGCGAGCGUUGUCCGGAAUUAUUGGGCGUAAAGAGCUCGUAGGCGGUGUGUCACGUCUGCCGUGAAAACCUCAGGCUUAACUUGGGGCGGGCGGUGGAUACGGGCAUCACUUGAGUUCGGUAGGGGAGACUGGAAUUCCUGGUGUAGCGGUGGAAUGCGCAGAUAUCAGGAGGAACACCGGUGGCGAAGGCGGGUCUCUGGGCCGAUACUGACGCUGAGGAGCGAAAGCGUGGGGAGCGAACAGG